Molecule: ribosomal RNA, 251 nt
Filed under: uncultured bacterium
Lineage: Bacteria
Description: partial 16S ribosomal RNA
Rfam family: Bacterial small subunit ribosomal RNA
Source: RNAcentral
UACGGAGGGUGCAAGCGUUAUCCGGAUUUACUGGGCGUAAAGGGCGCGUAGGCGGCCACCGCAAGUCGACUGUGAAAUCUCCGGGCUUAACCCGGAAGGUCAGCCGAUACUGCGGGCUAGAGUGCAGAAGGGGCAACUGGAAUUCUCGGUGUAGCGGUGAAAUGCGUAGAUAUCGAGAGGAACACCUGCGGCGAAGGCGGGUUGCUGGCUGACACUGACGCUGAGGCGCGAAAGCUAGGGGAGCGAACGGG